Molecule: unclassified non-coding RNA, 441 nt
Filed under: Melaleuca sieberi
Lineage: Eukaryota; Viridiplantae; Streptophyta; Magnoliopsida; Myrtales; Myrtaceae
Description: partial miscellaneous RNA
Source: RNAcentral
ACUUUGGUCUUAGUAUAAGUGUAGUCGAUUUUUUGAUUGGAAAGUAAAGGAGCAAUAACCAACACUCUUGAUAGAAUAAGAAAUUGGUUAUUGUUCCUUUAUUUAGUGCUCUUUUCAGUUUUUCUUUACUUCAACAUAAGAAAAAAAGGAGUCUAGUCUUAGGGAUUGGUUUAUGAUUGCGUAUCAUACUUUUUYCUUAUAUAUAAAUUUCGAAUUUAUAUACAUUCUUUUCAACCCUUUGUAAGACUUUGUGAGAUUAUUAUCUUCUAGUUUUUUUCGAAUAAAAUGGAAAGRUUAUAAUUUUCUGCUUAUUCUAUCUCAUAAGUAAGAUAAAAAAAUGUUACAAAUUAACAWUCGAAUUGAACUAUUUUCAWUUAUUUURAAWUWAUUUCAAAAGGNAAUAAAAAUAMAUAUAAAUACUAAUAAUAAUUGGGGCGGAUG